GACGAACGCUGGCGGCGUGCUUAACACAUGCAAGUCGAACGGAAAGGCCCUGCUUUUGUGGGGUGCUCGAGUGGCGAACGGGUGAGUAACACGUGAGUAACCUGCCCUUGACUUUGGGAUAACUUCAGGAAACUGGGGCUAAUACCGUAUAGGAGCUCCUGCUGCAUGGUGGGGGUUGGAAAGUUUCGGCGGUUGGGGUUGGACUCGCGGCUUAUCAGCUUGUUGGUGGGGUAGUGGCUUACCAAGGCUUUGACGGGUAGCCGGCCUGAGAGGGUGACCGGCCACAAUGGGACUGAGAUACGGACCAGACUCCUACGGGAGGCAGCAGUGGGAAAUAUUGCACAAUGGGCGGAAGCCUGAUGAAGAAACGCCGGGGGCGGGAUGACGGCCUGCGGGUUGUAAACCGCUUUCGCCUGUGACGAAGCGUGAGUGACGGUAAUGGGUAAAGAAGCACCGGCUAACUACGUG
Molecule: ribosomal RNA, 468 nt
Filed under: uncultured bacterium
Lineage: Bacteria
Description: partial 16S ribosomal RNA
Rfam family: Bacterial small subunit ribosomal RNA
Source: RNAcentral